AGUGAACGCUGGCGGUAGGCCUAACACAUGCAAGUCGAACGGCAGCACAGUAAGAGCUUGCUCUUACGGGUGGCGAGUGGCGGACGGGUGAGGAAUACAUCGGAAUCUACUUUUUCGUGGGGGAUAACGUAGGGAAACUUACGCUAAUACCGCAUACGACCUACGGGUGAAAGCAGGGGAUCUUCGGACCUUGCGCGAUUGAAUGAGCCGAUGUCGGAUUAGCUAGUUGGCGGGGUAAAGGCCCACCAAGGCGACGAUCCGUAGCUGGUCUGAGAGGAUGAUCAGCCACACUGGAACUGAGACACGGUCCAGACUCCUACGGGAGGCAGCAGUGGGGAAUAUUGGACAAUGGGCGCAAGCCUGAUCCAGCCAUACCGCGUGGGUGAAGAAGGCCUUCGGGUUGUAAAGCCCUUUUGUUGGGAAAGAAAAGCAGCAGGUUAAUACCCCGCUGUUCUGACAGUACCCAAAGAAUAAGCACCGGCUAACCUCGUG
RNAcentral lists this ribosomal RNA (492 nucleotides) under uncultured bacterium. RNAcentral's name for it is "partial 16S ribosomal RNA". It matches the Rfam family "Bacterial small subunit ribosomal RNA", at positions 29 to 507 of the family's 1533-position model. The record is from RNAcentral.